GAUGAACGCUGGCGGCGUGCCUAACACAUGCAAGUCGAACGAAGCACCUUACCUGAUUCUUCGGAUGAAAGUUUGGUGACUGAGUGGCGGACGGGUGAGUAACGCGUGGGUAACCUGCCCUGUACAGGGGGAUAACAGCUGGAAACGGCUGCUAAUACCGCAUAAGCGCACGAGGAGACAUCUCCUUGUGUGAAAAACUCCGGUGGUACAGGAUGGGCCCGCGUCUGAUUAGCUGGUUGGCAGGGUAACGGCCUACCAAGGCAACGAUCAGUAGCCGGUCUGAGAGGAUGAACGGCCACUUUGGAACUGAGACACGGUCCAAACUCCUACGGGAGGCAGCAGUGGGGAAUAUUGCACAAUGGGGGAAACCCUGAUGCAGCAACGCCGCGUGAGUGAAGAAGUAUUUCGGUAUGUAAAGCUCUAUCAGGAGGGAAGAUAAUGACGGUACCUGACGAAGAAGCUCCGGCUAAAUACGUG
RNAcentral lists this ribosomal RNA (477 nucleotides) under uncultured bacterium. RNAcentral's name for it is "partial 16S ribosomal RNA". It matches the Rfam family "Bacterial small subunit ribosomal RNA", at positions 28 to 507 of the family's 1533-position model. The record is from RNAcentral.